Molecule: ribosomal RNA, 2349 nt
Filed under: Escherichia coli
Lineage: Bacteria; Pseudomonadati; Pseudomonadota; Gammaproteobacteria; Enterobacterales; Enterobacteriaceae
Also listed under: 1 other name
Description: partial 23S ribosomal RNA
Rfam family: Bacterial large subunit ribosomal RNA
Source: RNAcentral
GGUUAAGCGACUAAGCGUACACGGUGGAUGCCCUGGCAGUCAGAGGCGAUGAAGGACGUGCUAAUCUGCGAUAAGCGUCGGUAAGGUGAUAUGAACCGUUAUAACCGGCGAUUUCCGAAUGGGGAAACCCAGUGUGAUUCGUCACACUAUCAUUAACUGAAUCCAUAGGUUAAUGAGGCGAACCGGGGGAACUGAAACAUCUAAGUACCCCGAGGAAAAGAAAUCAACCGAGAUUCCCCCAGUAGCGGCGAGCGAACGGGGAGCAGCCCAGAGCCUGAAUCAGUGUGUGUGUUAGUGGAAGCGUCUGGAAAGGCGUGCGAUACAGGGUGACAGCCCCGUACACAAAAAUGCACAUACUGUGAGCUCGAUGAGUAGGGCGGGACACGUGGUAUCCUGUCUGAAUAUGGGGGGACCAUCCUCCAAGGCUAAAUACUCCUGACUGACCGAUAGUGAACCAGUACCGUGAGGGAAAGGCGAAAAGAACCCCGGCGAGGGGAGUGAAAAAGAACCUGAAACCGUGUACGUACAAGCAGUGGGAGCACGCUUAGGCGUGUGACUGCGUACCUUUUGUAUAAUGGGUCAGCGACUUAUAUUCUGUAGCAAGGUUAACCGAAUAGGGGAGCCGAAGGGAAACCGAGUCUUAACUGGGCGUUAAGUUGCAGGGUAUAGACCCGAAACCCGGUGAUCUAGCCAUGGGCAGGUUGAAGGUUGGGUAACACUAACUGGAGGACCGAACCGACUAAUGUUGAAAAAUUAGCGGAUGACUUGUGGCUGGGGGUGAAAGGCCAAUCAAACCGGGAGAUAGCUGGUUCUCCCCGAAAGCUAUUUAGGUAGCGCCUCGUGAAUUCAUCUCCGGGGGUAGAGCACUGUUUCGGCAAGGGGGUCAUCCCGACUUACCAACCCGAUGCAAACUGCGAAUACCGGAGAAUGUUAUUACGGGAGACACACGGCGGGUGCUAACGUCCGUCGUGAAGAGGGAAACAACCCAGACCGCCAGCUAAGGUCCCAAAGUCAUGGUUAAGUGGGAAACGAUGUGGGAAGGCCCAGACAGCCAGGAUGUUGGCUUAGAAGCAGCCAUCAUUUAAAGAAAGCGUAAUAGCUCACUGGUCGAGUCGGCCUGCGCGGAAGAUGUAACGGGGCUAAACCAUGCACCGAAGCUGCGGCAGCGACGCUUAUGCGUUGUUGGGUAGGGGAGCGUUCUGUAAGCCUGUGAAGGUGUGCUGUGAGGUAUGCUGGAGGUAUCAGAAGUGCGAAUGCUGACAUAAGUAACGAUAAAGCGGGUGAAAAGCCCGCUCGCCGGAAGACCAAGGGUUCCUGUCCAACGUUAAUCGGGGCAGGGUGAGUCGACCCCUAAGGCGAGGCCGAAAGGCGUAGUCGAUGGGAAACAGGUUAAUAUUCCUGUACUUGGUGUUACUGCGAAGGGGGGACGGAGAAGGCUAUGUUGGCCGGGCGACGGUUGUCCCGGUUUAAGCGUGUAGGCUGGUUUUCCAGGCAAAUCCGGAAAAUCAAGGCCGAGGCGUGAUGACGAGGCACUACGGUGCUGAAGCAACAAAUGCCCUGCUUCCAGGAAAAGCCUCUAAGCAUCAGGUAACAUCAAAUCGUACCCCAAACCGACACAGGUGGUCAGGUAGAGAAUACCAAGGCGCUUGAGAGAACUCGGGUGAAGGAACUAGGCAAAAUGGUGCCGUAACUUCGGGAGAAGGCACGCUGAUACGUAGGUGAAGCGACUUGCUCGUGGAGCUGAAAUCAGUCGAAGAUACCAGCUGGCUGCAACUGUUUAUUAAAAACACAGCACUGUGCAAACACGAAAGUGGACGUAUACGGUGUGACGCCUGCCCGGUGCCGGAAGGUUAAUUGAUGGGGUUAGCGCAAGCGAAGCUCUUGAUCGAAGCCCCGGUAAACGGCGGCCGUAACUAUAACGGUCCUAAGGUAGCGAAAUUCCUUGUCGGGUAAGUUCCGACCUGCACGAAUGGCGUAAUGAUGGCCAGGCUGUCUCCACCCGAGACUCAGUGAAAUUGAACUCGCUGUGAAGAUGCAGUGUACCCGCGGCAAGACGGAAAGACCCCGUGAACCUUUACUAUAGCUUGACACUGAACAUUGAGCCUUGAUGUGUAGGAUAGGUGGGAGGCUUUGAAGUGUGGACGCCAGUCUGCAUGGAGCCGACCUUGAAAUACCACCCUUUAAUGUUUGAUGUUCUAACGUGGACCCGUGAUCCGGGUUGCGGACAGUGUCUGGUGGGUAGUUUGACUGGGGCGGUCUCCUCCUAAAGAGUAACGGAGGAGCACGAAGGUUGGCUAAUCCUGGUCGGACAUCAGGAGGUUAGUGCAAUGGCAUAAGCCAGCUUGACUG